RNAcentral lists this transfer RNA (77 nucleotides) under Holophagae bacterium. Its description in RNAcentral is "tRNA-Arg". It matches the Rfam family "tRNA". From Rfam's summary of the family: Transfer RNA (tRNA) molecules are approximately 80 nucleotides in length. Their secondary structure includes four short double-helical elements and three loops (D, anti-codon, and T loops). Further hydrogen bonds mediate the characteristic L-shaped molecular structure. tRNAs have two regions of fundamental functional importance: the anti-codon, which is responsible for specific mRNA codon recognition, and the 3' end, to which the tRNAs corresponding amino acid is attached (by aminoacyl-tRNA synthetases). tRNAs cope with the degeneracy of the genetic code in two manners: having more than one tRNA (with a specific anti-codon) for a particular amino acid; and 'wobble' base-pairing, i.e. permitting non-standard base-pairing at the 3rd anti-codon position. Lineage: Bacteria; Pseudomonadati; Acidobacteriota; Holophagae. The record is from RNAcentral.
GCACCGGUAGCUCAAACGGAUAGAGCAUCUGACUACGGAUCAGAAGGUUGGGGAUUCGAGUUCCUCCCGGUGCGCCA